AUGAACGCUAGCUACAGGCUUAACACAUGCAAGUCGCGGGGCAGCAUGGGGGUUGCUUGCACUCCCCGAUGGCGACCGGCGCACGGGUGAGUAACGCGUAUCCAACCUGCCCUUCACCACGGGAUAACCCGGCGAAAGUCGGACUAAUACCGUAUGUUGUCCAUUGACGGCAUCCGAUUUGGACGAAAGGUUUGGCGGUGAAGGAUGGGGAUGCGUCCGAUUAGCUGGACGGCGGGGUGACGGCCCACCGUGGCGACGAUCGGUAGGGGUUCUGAGAGGAAGGUCCCCCACACUGGAACUGAGACACGGUCCAGACUCCUACGGGAGGCAGCAGUGAGGAAUAUUGGUCAAUGGGCGUAAGCCUGAACCAGCCAAGUAGCGUGCAGGAUGACGGCCCUAUGGGUUGUAAACUGCUUUUAUGCGGGGAUAAAGUGGCCCACGUGUGGGUUUUUGCAGGUACCGAAUGAAUAAGGACCGGCUAAUUCCGUG
This 489-nucleotide ribosomal RNA is filed under the name uncultured bacterium. RNAcentral's name for it is "partial 16S ribosomal RNA". It matches the Rfam family "Bacterial small subunit ribosomal RNA", at positions 29 to 507 of the family's 1533-position model. The record is from RNAcentral.